GAUGAACGCUGGCGGCGUGCCUAAUACAUGCAAGUCGAGCGGUAAGGCCCUUCGGGGUACACGAGCGGCGGACGGCUGAGUAACACGUAGGAACGUACCCCAAACUGAGGGAUAAGCACCAGAAAUGGUGUCUAAUACCGCAUGUGGCACACGGGCUAAAGCUCCGGCGGUUUGGGAACGGCCUGCGUCCGAUUAGCUAGUUGGUGAGGUAAUUGCUCCCCAAGGCGACGAUCGGUAGCUGGUCUGAGAGGAUGAUCAGCCAGACUGGGACUGAGACACGGCCCAGACUCCUACGGGAGGCAGCAGUAGGGAAUUUUCCACAAUGGGGGCAACCCUGAUGGAGCAACGCCGCGUGCAGGAUGAAGGCCUUCGGGUUGUAAACUGCUUUUAUCUGUGACGAUUAUGACGGUAGCAGAUGAAUAAGGACCUGCUAACUACGUGCCAGCAGCCGCAGUAA
This 457-nucleotide ribosomal RNA is filed under the name uncultured bacterium. RNAcentral's name for it is "partial 16S ribosomal RNA". It matches the Rfam family "Bacterial small subunit ribosomal RNA", at positions 28 to 523 of the family's 1533-position model. The record is from RNAcentral.